CCUACGGGGGGCUGCAGUGGGGAAUAUUGGACAAUGGGCGAAAGCCUGAUCCAGCCAUGCCGCGUGUGUGAUGAAGGCCUUCGGGUUGUAAAGCACUUUCAGUGGGGAAGAAAGCCUUGGGGCUAAUACCCUCGAGGAAGGACAUCACCCACAGAAGAAGCACCGGCUAACUCCGUGCCAGCAGCCGCGGUAAUACGGAGGGUGCGAGCGUUAAUCGGAAUUACUGGGCGUAAAGCGCGCGUAGGCGGUCUGAUAAGCCGGUUGUGAAAGCCCCGGGCUCAACCUGGGAACGGCAUCCGGAACUGUCAGGCUAGAGUGCAGGAGAGGAAGGUAGAAUUCCCGGUGUAGCGGUGAAAUGCGUAGAGAUCGGGAGGAAUACCAGUGGCGAAGGCGGCCUUCUGGACUGACACUGACGCUGAGGUGCGAAAGCGUGGGUAGCAAACAGGAUUAGAUACCCCAGUAGUC
This 465-nucleotide ribosomal RNA is filed under the name Vreelandella stevensii. Its description in RNAcentral is "partial 16S ribosomal RNA". It matches the Rfam family "Bacterial small subunit ribosomal RNA", at positions 338 to 795 of the family's 1533-position model. The record is from RNAcentral. Lineage: Bacteria; Pseudomonadati; Pseudomonadota; Gammaproteobacteria; Oceanospirillales; Halomonadaceae.